Molecule: ribosomal RNA, 775 nt
Filed under: uncultured Neocallimastigales
Lineage: Eukaryota; Fungi; Neocallimastigomycota; Neocallimastigomycetes; Neocallimastigales
Description: partial large subunit ribosomal RNA
Rfam family: Eukaryotic large subunit ribosomal RNA
Source: RNAcentral
GUACACGCUGUGACUAGCAUAUCAAUAAGCGGAGGAAAAGAAACUAACAAGGAUUCCCCUAGUAACGGCGAGUGAAGCGGGAAGAGCUCAAAUUUGAAAUCUUAAAGGGUUUCCCUUUACGAAUUGUAGUUUAAAGAAGUGUUUUCUGUUGAGGUUUUGGUAAAAGUUCUUUGGAAUAGGACAUCAUAGAGGGUGAGAAUCCCGUAUUUGACCUUUACUUUCAACUUUGUGAUACACUUUCAAAGAGUCGGAUUGUUUGGGAAUGCAGUCCAAAAUGGGUGGUAAAUUUCAUCUAAAGCUAAAUAUUGGCGAGAGACCGAUAGCGAACAAGUACCGUGAGGGAAAGAUGAAAAGAACUUUGAAAAGAGAGUUAAACAGUACGUGAAAUUGUCAAAAGGGAAGCGUUUGACACCAGUGUUGUUUUUCUGAAAAUCAAUUAAAGAACUGUUUAUGCUAAGUUGUUUAGACUUUAUCAGCUAACUGUUUAGUUUUGAGCUUUUCUUUAAUGCACUUUUCAGUUAACAAGUCAACAUCAAUUUCUUUUGCUGAUAAAAAAGCUUGAGGAAGGUGGCUUGAGAUUCGUCUUAAGUGUUUAUAGCCUCUUGCCUAUGCAGUCGGAGAGAUUGAGGUCUGCAGCGUAGAUCCUUCGGGGCUAAAUGCAUUUGUGCUAAGUUAUAGCAUUUUAUAGACAACUUGUUGACUAUGAUUUGUCUUGUAGCUUACUCGCUUAUGUUAUUUUACCUACGCUUAGGAUGUUGACAGCAGUAUAGACUGU